RNAcentral lists this ribosomal RNA (253 nucleotides) under uncultured bacterium. RNAcentral's name for it is "partial 16S ribosomal RNA". It matches the Rfam family "Bacterial small subunit ribosomal RNA", at positions 524 to 776 of the family's 1533-position model. The record is from RNAcentral.
UACGUAGGGCGCAAGCGUUAUCCGGAAUUAUUGGGCGUAAAGAGCUCGUAGGCGGUUUGUCGCGUCUGCCGUGAAAGUCCGGGGCUCAACUUCGGAUCUGCGGUGGGUACGGGCAGACUAGAGUGAUGUAGGGGAGACUGGAAUUCCUGGUGUAGCGGUGAAAUGCGCAGAUAUCAGGAGGAACACCGAUGGCGAAGGCAGAUCUCUGGGCCGUAACUGACGCUGAGGAGCGAAAGCAUGGGGAGCGAACAGG